CCACUAUAGAUGCAAGAAAAAUGUUCUUGCACUUUCUGUCUGCCUGAUCAUGGCAGCCAAGAUUGAAUAGAGGAAUAUAGGA
RNAcentral lists this small nucleolar RNA (82 nucleotides) under Microcebus murinus (gray mouse lemur). RNAcentral's name for it is "Small nucleolar RNA SNORA31 (ENSMICG00000036302.2)". Lineage: Eukaryota; Metazoa; Chordata; Mammalia; Primates; Cheirogaleidae. The record is from RNAcentral.